RNAcentral lists this transfer RNA (62 nucleotides) under Liposcelis decolor. Its description in RNAcentral is "tRNA-Ser". Lineage: Eukaryota; Metazoa; Arthropoda; Insecta; Psocodea; Liposcelididae. The record is from RNAcentral.
AGAAAUGGUACCCCUACAAUAACUUCUAAUUAUUGGUUAGAAAUUAAUUUUUCCUGUUUUUA